GAUGAAGAACGCAGCGAAAUGCGAUAAGUAGUGUGAAUUGCAGAAUUCAGUGAAUCAUCGAAUCUUUGAACGCACAUUGCGCCCCAUGGUAUUCCGUGGGGCAUGCCUGUUCGAGCGUCAUUUACCCCCUCAAGCUCCGCUUGGUGUUGGGCGUCUGUCCCGCUUCGCGCGCGGACUCGCCCCAAAGGUAUUGGCAGCGGUCGUGCCAGCUUCUCGCGCAGCACAUUGCGCUUCUCGAGGCACCGGUGGGCCCGCGUCCAUCAAGCUCACCCCCCCAGUUUGACCUCGGAUCAGGUAGGGAUACCCGCUGAACUUAAGCAUAUCAUAGCGGAGGA
This 335-nucleotide unclassified non-coding RNA is filed under the name soil metagenome. RNAcentral describes it as "partial contains 5.8S ribosomal RNA, internal transcribed spacer 2, and large subunit ribosomal RNA". The stretch from base 1 to 120 matches the Rfam family "5.8S ribosomal RNA", at positions 35 to 154 of the family's 154-position model. The record is from RNAcentral.